AUUCCAGCUCCAAUAGCGAAUACUAAUUCUGCUGCAGCUAAAAAGCUCGUAGUUGAACUUCUGGUAGGAGCGACCGUGCCGAACUUGAUUGUUCGUGUAUUGUGUUGUCUUCAGCCAUCCUCGUGGAGAACUUUUCUAACAUUAACUUGUUGGGAUUGGGACCCGCGUCGUUUACUGUGAAAAAAUUAGAGUGUUUAAAGCAGGCAUUAGCUUGAAUACAUUAGCAUGGAAUAAUAAGAUAGGACUUUGGUACUAUUUUGUUGGUUUGCAUACCAAAUUAAUGAUCAACAGGAACAGUUUGAGGAUAUUCGUAUGAACAUGUCAGAGGUGAAAUUCUUGGAUUUUGAUCAGACGAACUACUGCGAAAGCAUUUAUCAAGGAUGUUUUCAUUA
Molecule: ribosomal RNA, 392 nt
Filed under: Aplanochytrium sp.
Lineage: Eukaryota; Bigyra; Thraustochytrida; Thraustochytriidae
Description: partial small subunit ribosomal RNA
Rfam family: Eukaryotic small subunit ribosomal RNA
Source: RNAcentral